GAGAGUCUGCAAAGGCACCGGAUCAACCACCAUCUUCAAUAAUGUCAAAAUGUCCCCAUACUGAUCAUCAAAAACCUUCUGAUUACGGUCUGUCACGAGAUUACCCAAUUCUUCCAAAGAUGUCAACGGCUCACGGUAGAAGCUAUAGGUGCAAGUCUUCCUUUUUAGCUCUGGGAUGGCUGCCAUCUCUCGACGCGAACAGACUCCUAAAUAAACCUGAGAAAUGAUAUGCAUGUGCAAGUUAGCUUUUUUCUCUUUCUUUUUUUUGCAUUAUUU
This 276-nucleotide long non-coding RNA is filed under the name Lathyrus oleraceus (garden pea). Its description in RNAcentral is "Pisum sativum (pea) long non-coding RNA (PSAT_LNC020074)". Lineage: Eukaryota; Viridiplantae; Streptophyta; Magnoliopsida; Fabales; Fabaceae. The record is from RNAcentral.